UUCAACUCAAAUCCCCUUUGGUCUCAAUGUGCCCUUUGCGGGUUUUCACCUUGGCCUCUCCUUUUUCCUUUUCUUUUUGUCAUUUUUAUUUUUUUCUUUUUAUUUUUUUCUUUUUUUGGUUUUUUGUGGGUUUUUUUUGUUUUUUGAAUUGGAUCUUGAACGCAUAGGAUUAGGCAAAUCCUUGUUAUCCCUUUUUAUCAGAACUAAUAUUUUCUCGAUAAAGUCUCCUACAUAAGAUCUUCUACUUUUAUCUUGUAUGCGAAAAAUCUUCUUUGGUAUCAGAUUUCUUUCAUAGAGCCUUUUAGGGCGAAAUUUAACUAUGACAUAAACUUUGGAUUUUCCUCUUC
Molecule: long non-coding RNA, 347 nt
Filed under: Gossypium raimondii (Peruvian cotton)
Lineage: Eukaryota; Viridiplantae; Streptophyta; Magnoliopsida; Malvales; Malvaceae
Description: long non-coding RNA (GRAI_LNC001164)
Source: RNAcentral